Molecule: ribosomal RNA, 484 nt
Filed under: uncultured bacterium
Lineage: Bacteria
Description: bacterial SSU rRNA
Rfam family: Bacterial small subunit ribosomal RNA
Source: RNAcentral
GAUGAACGCUAGCGGCAGGCUUAAUACAUGCAAGUCGAGGGGCAUCAAGGUACACGAAAGUGUAUUGUUGGCGACCGGCGGACGGGUGAGUAAUAGGUAGGUAACCUACCUCAUACUGAGGCAUAGCUGGGAGAAAUUCCAGGUAAUUCCUCAUGAGGUUAUAUGACACAUGUGAUAUAAUCAAAGGUAUCGCAAGGUACUGGUAUGAGAUGGGCUUACUGACCAUUAGCUAGUUGGUGAGAUAAGAGCUCACCAAGGCGAAGAUGGUUAGGGGUUUUGAGAGAGAGAUCCCCCAAUUGGAACUGAGAUACGGUCCAGACUCCUACGGGAGCAGCAGUAGGGAAUAUUGGGCAAUGGGCGGAAGCCUGACCCAGCCAUGCCGCGUGAAGGAAGACGGCCUUAUGGGUUGUAAACUUCUUUACUAUGCGACUAACUAGAUUUACGAGAUAAUUCUAUAGAAUGUAGCAUAGCAAAAAGCACCGGA